AGUGAACGCUGGCGGUAGGCCUAACACAUGCAAGUCGAACGGCAGCACAGUAAGAGCUUGCUCUUACGGGUGGCGAGUGGCGGACGGGUGAGGAAUACAUCGGAAUCUACUUUUUCGUGGGGGAUAACGUAGGGAAACUUACGCUAAUACCGCAUACGACCUACGGGUGAAAGCAGGGGGUCUUCGGACCUUGCGCGAUUGAAUGAGCCGAUGUCGGAUUAGCUAGUUGGCGGGGUAAAGGCCCACCAAGGCGACGAUCCGUAGCUGGUCUGAGAGGAUGACCAGCCACACUGGAACUGAGACACGGUCCAGACUCCUACGGGAGGCAGCAGUGGGGAAUAUUGGACAACGGGCGCAAGCCUGAUCCAGCCAUACCGCGUGGGUGAAGAAGGCCUUCGGGUUGUAAAGCCCUUUUGUUGGGAAAGAAAAGCAGCAGGUUAAUACCCCGCUGUUCUGACGGUACCCAAAGAAUAAGCACCGGCUAACUUCGUG
RNAcentral lists this ribosomal RNA (492 nucleotides) under uncultured bacterium. RNAcentral describes it as "partial 16S ribosomal RNA". It matches the Rfam family "Bacterial small subunit ribosomal RNA", at positions 29 to 507 of the family's 1533-position model. The record is from RNAcentral.